Molecule: long non-coding RNA, 651 nt
Organism: Folsomia candida
Lineage: Eukaryota; Metazoa; Arthropoda; Collembola; Entomobryomorpha; Isotomidae
Exons: 3
Source: RefSeq, a predicted model, not a curated record
UCGAAGCGGAAGGGCGUCGGUGGGCGGAGGAAGAGUGAAAAGCCUCCCCCACCCGUCGUUCUCAAGAAAAGGAGAUUGGCAGCCAAUGCGAGGGAGAGAAGGAGAAUGGACGGGCUAAAUGACGCUUUCGAAAAAUUGAGGGAUGUCAUCCCGUCGCUUGGGUCGGAUCACAAACUUUCGAAAUACGAGACUUUACAAAUGGCUCAAACAUACAUCAAUGCACUAAGGGCAAGACUGACCGAGGAGUCGGGAAGCGAAUGAGUGAGACCUGACAAUACUCCAUCCAUCCAUCCAACAGAGAUUUAAUAAAAUUACAGCUUUAAGCAAGGUUUAGUAAUUUAUUUAUUUUUAUCAAAGUCUAAUUUUAAGGUUGACGAAACACACAACCAACAACCGCAUCAUGUCUCACUUUAUGUUUUCUUUUCGACAAAGACAUGUUCGCUUGUUUGUGAAAGUACACAAGUUAAAAUUUUGCUUAAUACAUAUGUAAUAUUCGGCAUUAAUUAUCUUUAAGAUUUAUACAUAGUUUUACAAUUUGUAAAUGAUUGUAAAGUAUUUCCUACAUACAUACAUGAUAAUUUCGACAAAUGUCCAUUGUAUUAUUAAAAUGAACAAAUAAAAUGCCAUGUUAACUAUGUUUGGGGAAAAUGA